GAUGAACGCUGGCGGCGUGCCUAAUACAUGCAAGUCGAGCGAACAGACGAGAAGCUUGCUCCUCUGACGUUAGCGGCGGACGGGUGAGUAACACGUGGAUAACCUACCUAUAAGACUGGGAUAACUUCGGGAAACCGGAGCUAAUACCGGAUAAUAUUUUGAACCGCAUGGUUCAAUAGUGAAAGACGGUUUUGCUGUCACUUAUAGAUGGAUCCGCGCUGCAUUAGCUAGUUGGUAAGGUAACGGCUUACCAAGGCAACGAUGCAUAGCCGACCUGAGAGGGUGAUCGGCCACACUGGAACUGAGACACGGUCCAGACUCCUACGGGAGGCAGCAGUAGGGAAUCUUCCGCAAUGGGCGAAAGCCUGACGGAGCAACGCCGCGUGAGUGAUGAAGGUCUUCGGAUCGUAAAACUCUGUUAUUAGGGAAGAACAUAUGUGUAAGUAACUGUGCACAUCUUGACGGUACCUAAUCAGAAAGCCACGGCUAACUACGUG
Molecule: ribosomal RNA, 497 nt
Filed under: uncultured bacterium
Lineage: Bacteria
Description: partial 16S ribosomal RNA
Rfam family: Bacterial small subunit ribosomal RNA
Source: RNAcentral